UCGGGAAUUUUGGGCAAUGGGCGAAAGCCUGACCCAGCAACGCCGCGUGAAGGAUGAAGUAUUUCGGUAUGUAAACUUCGAAAGAAUAGGAAGAAUAAAUGACGGUACUAUUUAUAAGGUCCGGCUAACUACGUGCCAGCAGCCGCGGUAAUACGUAGGGACCAAGCGUUGUUCGGAUUUACUGGGCGUAAAGGGUGCGUAGGCGGCAUAUCAAGUCACUUGUGAAAUCUCCGGGCUUAACUCGGAACUGCCAAGUGAUACUGAUGUGCUAGAGUGCAGAAAGGGCAACUGGAAUUCUUGGUGUAGCGGUGAAAUGCGUAGAUAUCAAGAGGAACACCUGAGGCGAAGGCGAGUUGCUAGGCUGACACUGACGCUGAGGUACGAAAGCUAGGGGAGCGAACGGGAUUAGAUACCCCAGUAGUCCCUGAGCGGGCUGGCAAGGCGCAU
This 447-nucleotide ribosomal RNA is filed under the name uncultured bacterium. Its description in RNAcentral is "bacterial SSU rRNA". It matches the Rfam family "Bacterial small subunit ribosomal RNA", at positions 355 to 825 of the family's 1533-position model. The record is from RNAcentral.